GACGAACGCUGGCGGCGUGCUUAACACAUGCAAGUCGAACGGAAAGGCCUGCUUUCCCUUGUGGAUUGCGGGUACUCGAGUGGCGAACGGGUGAGUAACACGUGAGUGAUCUGCCCCCAACUUGGGUAUAAGCCUGGGAAACUGGGUCUAAUUCCCGAUAGGACUGCAGGGUGGUGCCUGUGGUGGAAAACGAUUUUCUAGUGGUUGGGGAUGGGCUCGCGGCCUAUCAGCUUGUUGGUGGGGUAAUGGCCUACCAAGGCGGCGACGGGUAGCCGGCCUGAGAGGGUGGACGGCCACAUUGGGACUGAGAUACGGCCCAGACUACUACGGGAGGCAGCAGUGGGGAAUAUUGCACAAUGGGCGGAAGCCUGAUGCAGCGACGCCGCGUGGGGGAUGACGGCCUUCGGGUUGUAAACUCCUUUCGACCGCGAGGAAGCCACCUGGUUGGAAGGGUGGUGACGGUAGUGGUAGAAGAAGCACCGGCUAACUACGUG
Molecule: ribosomal RNA, 494 nt
Filed under: uncultured bacterium
Lineage: Bacteria
Description: partial 16S ribosomal RNA
Rfam family: Bacterial small subunit ribosomal RNA
Source: RNAcentral